RNAcentral lists this ribosomal RNA (496 nucleotides) under uncultured bacterium. RNAcentral's name for it is "partial 16S ribosomal RNA". It matches the Rfam family "Bacterial small subunit ribosomal RNA", at positions 29 to 507 of the family's 1533-position model. The record is from RNAcentral.
AUGCACGCUGGCGGCGUGCCUAAUACAUGCAAGUCGAGCGAACAGACGAGGAGCUUGCUCCUCUGACGUUAGCGGCGGACGGGUGAGUAACACGUGGAUAACCUACCUAUAAGACUGGGAUAACUUCGGGAAACCGGAGCUAAUACCGGAUAAUAUAUUGAACCGCAUGGUUCAAUAGUGAAAGACGGUUUUGCUGUCACUUAUAGAUGGAUCCGCGCCGCAUUAGCUAGUUGGUAAGGUAACGGCUUACCAAGGCGACGAUGCGUAGCCGACCUGAGAGGGUGAUCGGCCACACUGGAACUGAGACACGGUCCAGACUCCUACGGGAGGCAGCAGUAGGGAAUCUUCCGUAAUGGGCGAAAGCCUGACGGAGCAACGCCGCGUGAGUGAUGAAGGUCUUCGGAUCGUAAAACUCUGUUAUUAGGGAAGAACAAAUGUGUAAGUAACUAUGCACGUCUUGACGGUACCUAAUCAGAAAGCCACGGCUAACUACGUG